Cinara cedri is the source of this 342-nucleotide non-coding RNA. The record is from the annotation of a GenBank genome assembly. NCBI's taxonomy places the organism in Eukaryota, Metazoa, Arthropoda, Insecta, Hemiptera, Aphididae.
UAAUUCGUAAAUAAUAUAAUAACAUCACCACGAUACCUAAGUAAACGUAUAUUACGUUUAUCAGAACAAAGCGAUAAAAUACGUAUAAAUUCGUUAGCUUUAAUCGCGAAAUAUACAAGUGUACAUAUAUACGUAUAAUAACAUUGACACAAUUAACUAAUACGUAGGUAUGUGAUUGAUAUUUACGUAUGCAUGUGUAGGUACAAGUACAAAUAAUAGACAAAUUAAUAUAAAACGGUUACGUAAACAAUACAACAAAUAGUACACUAUGGCGGGUGUCAGGAGCGCGUCCGUGAAUAUUUUUCCGGAUUACGAGGGGGGGGGGGGGGGGGGGGGUUUAAA